This 261-nucleotide long non-coding RNA is filed under the name Ananas comosus (pineapple). RNAcentral's name for it is "long non-coding RNA (ACOM_LNC014078)". Lineage: Eukaryota; Viridiplantae; Streptophyta; Magnoliopsida; Poales; Bromeliaceae. The record is from RNAcentral.
AAAGAGAGAGAGGAAGAAAAAAAGUGGUAAAAUUAUCAAUCCACCUUAUUAAGUAAUUAUGAUUAAGUAUUUUAACUAUGAUUAAUUAAAUAUUUUUAACAAAUCGAUGCUAACGGCAGAUAUAUAUCUGAAUAUAUUAUAAUUUUUACAGAAAUAACUUAUAAAAUUUAAAUUUUAAAAAAAUAUAUUUAUAAUUUAUUAUAUUUACGAAGAUAUGUAUGAAAUUAUUCCUAUAUAAUAUAUUAUCUAAUCCAUUAACCC